CAAGUCGAACGAUUAAACUUUCCUUCGGGAAAGAUAUAAAGUGGCGCACGGGUGAGUAACACGUAAGUAAUCUACCUUCGAGUGGGGAAUAACGUCCGGAAACGGACGCUAAUACCGCAUAACGCAGCGGCACCUAAUGGUGACAGUUGUUAAAGGAGCAAUUCGCUUGAAGAGGAGCUUGCGGCAGAUUAGCUAGUUGGUAAGGUAAUGGCUUACCAAGGCUUCGAUCUGUAUCCGGUCUAAGAGGACGGUCGGACACACUGACACUGAAUAACGGGUCAGACUCCUACGGGAGGCAGCAGUCGGGAAUUUUGGGCAAUGGGCGAAAGCCUGACCCAGCAACGCCGCGUGAAGGAUGAAGUAUUUCGGUAUGUAAACUUCGAAAGAAUGGGAAGAACUCAAUGACGGUACCAUUUAUAAGGUCCGGCUAACUACGUGCCAGCAGCCGCGGUAAUACGUAGGGACCAAGCGUUGUUCGGAUUUACUGGGCGUAAAGGGCGCGUAGGCGGCAAAUUAAGUCAUCUGUGAAAUCUCCGAGCUUAACUCGGAACUGUCAGGUGAUACUGAUCUGCUAGAGUGCGGAAGGGGCAAUCGGAAUUCUUGGUGUAGCGGUGAAAUGCGUAGAUAUCAAGAGGAACACCUGAGGUGAAGACGGGUUGCUGGGCCGACACUGACGCUGACAGCGCGAAAGCCAGGGGAGCAAACGGGAUUAGAUACCCCGGUAGUCCUGGCCUUAAACGAUGAAUACUUGGUGUCUGGAGUCUCUAUAGCUCCGGGUGCCGUCGCUAACGUUUUUAGUAUUCCGCCUGG
RNAcentral lists this ribosomal RNA (810 nucleotides) under uncultured Bacillota bacterium. RNAcentral's name for it is "bacterial SSU rRNA". It matches the Rfam family "Bacterial small subunit ribosomal RNA", at positions 58 to 876 of the family's 1533-position model. Lineage: Bacteria; Bacillati; Bacillota. The record is from RNAcentral.